Molecule: ribosomal RNA, 274 nt
Filed under: uncultured bacterium
Lineage: Bacteria
Description: partial 16S ribosomal RNA
Rfam family: Archaeal small subunit ribosomal RNA
Source: RNAcentral
AAACCAGCACCUCAAGUGGUCAGGAGGAUUAUUGGGCCUAAAGCAUCCGUAGCCGGCUCUGUAAGUUUUCGGUUAAAUCUGUAUGCUCAACAUACAGGCUGUCGGGAAUACUGCAGAGCUAGGGAGUGGGAGAGGUAGACGGUACUCGGGAGGAAGGGGUAAAAUCCUUUGAUCUAUUGAGGACCACCUGUGGCGAAGGCGGUCUACCAGAACACGUUCGACGGUGAGGGAUGAAAGCUGGGGGAGCAAACCGGAUUAGAAACCCCAGUAGUCC